UGGGGAAUUUUGGACAAUGGGCGAAAGCCUGAUCCAGCCAUUCCGCGUGCAGGAUGAAGGCCCUCGGGUUGUAAACUGCUCUUGUACGGAACGAAAAGCUCUCUUCUAAUACAGGAGGGUCAUGACGGUACCGUAAGAAUAAGCACCGGCUAACUACGUGCCAGCAGCCGCGGUAAUACGUAGGGUGCAAGCGUUAAUCGGAAUUACUGGGCGUAAAGCGUGCGCAGGCGGUUUUGUAAGACAGAGGUGAAAUCCCCGGGCUCAACCUGGGAACUGCCUGUGUGACUGCAAGGCUGGAGUGCGGCAGAGGGGGAUGGAGUUCCGCGUGUAGCAGUGAAAUGCGUAGAUAUGCGGAGGAACACCGAUGGCGAAGGCAAUCCCCUGGGCCUGCACUGACGCUCAUGCACGAAAGCGUGGGGAGCAAACAG
Molecule: ribosomal RNA, 428 nt
Filed under: uncultured Ottowia sp.
Lineage: Bacteria; Pseudomonadati; Pseudomonadota; Betaproteobacteria; Burkholderiales; Comamonadaceae
Description: bacterial SSU rRNA
Rfam family: Bacterial small subunit ribosomal RNA
Source: RNAcentral